Long non-coding RNA from Pleuronectes platessa (European plaice), 2743 nucleotides. RefSeq lists it as uncharacterized. The transcript has 2 exons. The record is from RefSeq and is a predicted model, not a curated record. NCBI's taxonomy places the organism in Eukaryota, Metazoa, Chordata, Actinopteri, Pleuronectiformes, Pleuronectidae.
UCUGACCUCUGCAGCACUCACCUCCUGGCUGUGCAAACACCAUGUGGAGAUCCAUGCAUGGCCUGGCUGAACACAGCUGGCUGAAGUGGCAAUACCUAACCCUAACCCAAUAUUUUACAAUAAAAAAUGCAAAUUUGUUUCUGUCUUUCUCUGGCUCACAGACUGUAGCUUGGAUUCAGGAAUUAUUUUGUCCACAUCUUUAACAGAACCCUCUUCCAGCCACCCAGGCCUGACUCCUCCUGACUUUCAACACAGGCUGUUGGGAACAGAGACAUGGAGCCGAGGCUGGAGUGGCUGAUAGCUGGUAGGCUACACGUAAAACAUUUGCAAAUAUAAUCCUUUCAUACAUCGUCAGUUAACAUUUGGCUUUGGAUCUUUAUGUUUGUAUUUAUCGUUUUCACUCUGGGGUGUAGAUCAAGAUAGAGAUCAAGAUGACCAAAAUGUCGGCGGUUGGAUCCCUGUCUCCAUAUGUUGAAGUUGAAUGCAAGUGGUCAUCAAGUCAUCAAGACUUGAAAAGUGUGACACAUCUUUGCUCAAUUUUAGGCUGUCCAAGACAAAAGAUGACAAACAUUAAAGAAUCAUGGCAAUAUCUUGCAUAUCAUGCCAUGGCUCCAGGAGCAUGAUCCUAUGUUGUAGUGAGAGAGAGGUUUAAAAAAAGACACCAGACAUUCUCAAAAUACUGCUUUGACCAAUGUAGACUAACCAAUCAACAGCAAUGCAGCAUGAAAGGAGACCCUGAUCAAUGCAAUACUGAUUGGCAGCCAUACUGUGUACACAUUGCAGUUGAUGCUAGCAUCCACAUACGUCAAACAUACAAAUAAGCCUGUACAUUAUUUGAUAUGGUUCACCAUGAAUAAGUGAAUGAUGAAUUAAGUCCUGACAGGCAACAAUAGGAACAUGGUGUGCCACUGUGGGAGAAGACGUUGUUGCACUGAAGGCUUGUAAUAGCUGAAUGUUCCCUGAGCUCAACCAUGAAAUAAGUCCUGACUUCCACCCUUGACUUAACUCCAUCCCUGAAUGCAGAAUGUAUCUCUGGAGAACAAUGGAAAACAGACAGAGAUUAAUAACAAAGAAAAGUACAAAUAUUUGCAGCGAGAAAGACGAGAUUUCAUUUAAAUCUGCUUUUCAAUAUAUUAAGGUAAUCAAUUAUUUUUCUGCCUCACUGGAAAAAAUACUUCCCAACAGUUAGGGUGAAUUGCUUCAUCAAGCUGAUGCAGGAAAUGACACAGACACAGGGGUGUGACUGUACAUCUAGGCAGAUAAACUACGGCUAGGGUUACUAAUUCAAAUAAAGUUUUUAAUGGGUACAAAUACAAUCGAUAGAAGGUUUCUUCAGGUUCCUAUGAGUGAUGAAAUAUGAUCUGAAUAUUUGACACAGAUAUAUCAUUCUGCAAAUUAAAGUUUCAUGAGCACCAAAGACUUAAAUAAAGUUGGUCAGAUAAAAAAAAAAGAGGUGUGACCAACACAGAUGAUUAUCGUAUUGUUUCUGUGUGAUUUAAAUGUUCGAACAAACCCUCCCAGUGACUCAGCAUGUAUCAGCAUACAUCCAGCAGUCCUUUCAUAUUAUUAGGUACACUGGUGUCAAAGAUCGUGGUCCAUUACGGGUCCUCACAGAAUGAACAGAGGAUACUGUACUGCUCCAUGUCAUUAAGGCAUGACCAAAAGGUUUUGGUAAAAAGCUAAACAAAAUAACUGUGACGCUCAGUCAUUUAUGUUUAUGGUUUUCUGUCUCGUUGUGUUUUCUACUUCCUGUUUUAUUUUGUAGCUUCGCUUUCACUGUGUCUUGUUCCAGCUUCUCGGUGUCUCACUUCCUGUCUUUGAUUGUCGUCCCCAAUCCUCAUGUGUUUGACCUGUGUGUAAUUGCCCCUGCCUUCCUUCUUGUAUUUAAGCCUCUGUGUUUCCCUUUGUGCUCUGUCGGUUUGUACUCGUUGUUUUCUACCCGUUUCCACACGGGUCAGAUAAGGUUUAUUUGUUCGUUCCUGCUGUCUCGACCAGCUUCCUCGUUCCUUGUUCUCCGUGCGCCUUGACGCCAGAGUUACUUGUGUUAGUGUUCCUGUUUGUUUUUGUCUUGUUUAAAGACUCUUUUUAUAUUAAAUACCUUUUUGUUUGUUACCUCUGCAUCCUGGGUCCAUCUCCUCCCUCAAACCGUAACAAUAACUGCGUUUAGAAAAAAUCUUUUCAAUUACAGUUUAGCAUAAAGCUUUUAAAAUCUUAACAUCUUCUUGAUCAACAAAAGCCGAAGACAAAUGAAUUUAAACACAAAGUCUGCUCUGGCACACAGUCAGGGGGAGUGUUAGCAGCACAAGAUGUGAUUCAGAACAUCCCUUCAUUUCCUGCGCAGCUCUUAGUCACAAUUAUGAGUGGUACGUGUGUGUUGUAUGGCGUACGCUCUGACCAUUGUUCACACCAGUAUUGCCAGUGUUGCAGCAACAGGAAUGCUGCAGGGUUUACACAACCAUCCCCUUUAUUUGGUGACAGUUCACAUGGAACGAGGUCACCUGCAUGUAGUUGAGCCUAUAUCGACUAGAACACUACAUCAAAAUGACAACAUACCAUUAGAAUCCUGAUCAAUCAUUCAAUCAAUCAAAUUUCGUAUAGCCCAUAUUCAUGAAUCACAAUUUGCCUGAUAGCUCUUAACAAAGUGUGACAUCCUCCGUCCUUAAUCCUCAACAAGAGUCAGGAAAAACUAUGAAAAAAAAAAAGAACAUAGAAACCUCAGAGAGAGCCACAUGUGAGGGAUCCC